AUAACCAAAAAUGGAAGUCCUUUCUCCUAGUAGAAUACACCUACCAAUAUUUUCCAUUGUUGGGUUAGUGUUACUUUCUACUAUUGCAUGUUCAGCUGCAAAUUCAGCUCACAACACUUUUCUUCAUUGCCUUGUAAACCAUUCAGAGCCCUCUCAUCCCAUAACCUCAGCGAUUUUCACGCCAAACAACGCUUCAUUCUCCUCAGUCUUGGAAGCUUACGUCAGAAACCUUCGUUUCAACACCUCCACAACCCGUAAGCCGUUCCUUAUAGUAACUGCAUUGCAUGUGUCCCAUAUACAGGCAUCCAUUAUCUGUGCUCAGAAGUAUAACUUGCAAAUGAAAAUUCGAAGUGGAGGCCAUGACUACGAUGGUUUGUCCUACGUGGCUGAGGUCCCAUUCUUUAUCCUUGACAUGUUCAAACUCCGAACCAUUGAAGUUGACAUACACACUGAGACCGCUUGGGUACAAGCUGGUGCAACGGUUGGUGAAGUUUUUUACAAAAUUGCUAAUAAGAGUAAAAUUCAUGCUUUCCCAGCAGGGAUUUGUCCCACUGUUGGGAUAGGAGGCCACCUAAGUGGCGGCAGUUAUGGCAAUUUGAUGAGAAAAUACGGUCUCUCAGUGGACAAUAUUGUUGAUGCACAAAUGGUUGAUGUUCAAGGUAGAUUGCUUGAUAGAAAAUCCAUGGGUGAAGAUCUCUUUUGGGCCAUCACAGGUGGUGGAGGAUCUAGCUUUGGUGUGGUCCUUGCCUACAAAAUAAAGCUAGUUCGAGUUCCUGAAACAGUCACUGUUUUCAACGUUCAGAGGACCUUGGAGCAAAACGCCACCGAUAUAGUUUAUAAAUGGCAGCAUGUUGCACCAACUAUCGACAACGACCUUUUCAUUAGACUUGUCUUGGACGUUGUAAACGGUACAAAAACUGGAACAAAGACUGUAAGAGCUUCUUUCGUAGCUCUAUUCCUUGGCGACUCCAAAAGCCUUGUUUCUCUCUUGAAUGAGAAGUUCCCUCAAUUAGGUUUGAAGCAAUCUGACUGCAUCGAAACAAGUUGGCUUCGUUCAGUGCUGUUUUGGACAAACAUCAACAUUACAGCACCUCUUGAGAUUUUGCUUGAUAGACAACCACAAUCACCCGUGAACUUCUUGAAAAGAAAAUCUGAUUAUGUACAAAAACCAAUUUCCAAAGACGGUUUUGAAGGAAUUUGGAAGAAGAUGAUUGAGUUGGAGGAUACACUGUUUCAAUUCAAUCCUUAUGGUGGAAGAAUGGCUGAGAUUCCAUCAACAGCAACUCCUUUCCCUCAUCGAGCAGGGAACCUAUGGAAGCUUCAAUACCAAGCCAAUUGGAGGCAAGCAGGGAAAGAAGUAACAAAUCACUACAUAAACUUGACAAGAAAACUUCACAAGUACAUGACUCCUUUUGUCUCCAAGAACCCAAGAGAGGCUUUCUACAAUUAUAAGGACCUUGACUUGGGAAUUAAUCACAAUGGCAAGAAAAGCUAUGCUGAAGGAAAAGUUUACGGAGUGGAGUAUUUCAAGGAUAACUUCGACAGGUUGGUUGAAAUAAAGACCAAGGUUGAUCCUCAUAAUUUCUUUAGAAACGAACAAAGCAUCCCUACUCUGCCAUAUGCAAAGAGUUAGGAUAAUAGCGACUCAAAUGUUAUUAAUUUCUGUAGUUUUGGUCAUUAGUUUAUUGCGUACUAUAUUGGAUCAUGGAAAUAAGUGAUGUUUAAUAAACUAUUUGUUUGGUUUGGUAUUAAAUUAUGAAAUAAAUCGUGUUUUAAUCAUGUAGCUCUUGUGUGUUAUUUAAAUAGUUACAUAAGAGAUGCAGUUUUGAUAGAAAUCUUUUUCUGAUCAGCUAAAAAUAUAUAAUAAAUUUUAGUCAUUAUUAAAAAAAUUAUAAUAAAUAAAUAUAUCACGUAGCAAGUCAUUUCUUUAUUAAUACACAAUGCAUGCAAAUAUAUAUAUAUAUAUAUAUAUAUAUAUAUAUAUUUUGUUUACGUAUAACCAAAAAUUGUACGUAAAAGUGAAACUGACAUCUAUGAUAGGCUUAUUUCUGAAAGUUCACUGCAGGAGGAGUUUGAAUCUUUAAUGAUCAGUAAAAAUAAAAACAUUAAGGAAACUGAAUAGUAAUUGUAUUCUAAAAUUUUGACGUGUUUGAUAUCACAAGAGAUAUUUGCAAUCAGAAUACGUUAUUUUUUAAACAACCUAGGUAGAAAAUAAUUUUUUAAAGUGAUACUAGUGGUUUGAUUUAUUAUGAAAAUAUCUUAUAAUUACAAAAAAAUUAUAUAAAGUUAGACAAGAUAUCAAAUAUAUAUUUUUAUAGUUAAACUAAUCUAAAAGUUCUCUUAACUAGUUCUCAAUAAUUAGUGUUCUCGUCAAUAAAUUUUGGUUUGAUUUUAUAGGUGGAUUUCGAGUUAAUCUUUCAACACUACUGUUUUGAGAUGCUUGAAGAUCAUAAUGAAAAGAGUUUACCUGUUAAUAAAAUUCUGACGAUCAUGUCAAUAAAAACAUUAAAAAAUAUGAGUGUAGUGUGUAUUGUAUGAAAUAAUGUUUACCUUUUGUUCGGAGUCUUAAAAUUCUUUUAACACUCGAAGAUCCUUAUUCAAAAGUUAGUAACUACAUAAUAAUUUGUUAAUAUACCCUUUUAUUUUAGGGAUGUUGAUAUACCAAGUAUCUAUCUACAUUUGUUGAUGACUUAUUAGUGUCAUUCCUUUUGAAAAGACAAAAAAAUACGUAAAUAUAAUUAUAUAUAUAUAUAAAUAUAAUUAUAUAUAUAUAUAUAUAUAUAUAUAUAUAUAUAUAUAUAUAUAUAUAUAUAUNNNNNNNNNNNNNNNNNNNNNNNNNNNNNNNNNNNNNNNNNNNNNNNNNNNNNNNNNNNNNNNNNNNNNNNNNNNNNNNNNNNNNNNNNNNNNNNNNNNNAUAUAUAUAUAUAUAUAUAUGAGUGUGUAUAUUAUAUGCGGCUAAAAACAUCUCGACACACGAAAGUGAUCAUAACAUACAAGUACAAAGAAGUAGAAGCUAGAUCAGCAAUUUUAGAAUAAAUUUCAAAACCUUGCCAUACACAUACCGAAAUUAAGCUACAUAUAAUUAAGAAUAUCACUAAUCCUCAAUCAAGCACACUAAGUUGCUCUUACUAUUAGAGUAAUAUAAGAUUAUCGAUGAAGGUUCAUCUAUGCACAAGCUCAAUUUAAUUAAAUUCUAUAAAUAAAUUAUCAUGUGAUUGGUGGUAAACAUUAAAUUUACUAGCAUUUAUUAAUAAAUACACUCAACUAAUUUGAAUGUUGAAGUAUCUUUUUACAAGUACAGUAUCAAAACAUAGGUAUUACCGACAUUCAAAAUUAGUCGAUAAUGUCAAAAUUUUGUCAUUAAAUAAAAACUAUUGACAAAAAUAAAUUUGUCGAUAACUAAUAAUAUUAUUAUUAAUAAUUUAAAAAAUAUUAUUUAUUAUUAAAAUUAUUAUUAUUAGAAUUUACGGUUAUUGUUUACUAUUAUUUUAUUAUAUGUUAUUAAUUAUAUAAUGUUAUUAAAUAUAAUAUUACCAAUUGAUGCGGAGGAAUUUGAACCAAGUUCACUGACUACAUGUGACUGUAAGCAUUAGACCAAAAUUACUUACUUACCAUAUUAUGUUUUUUUAUUCUUAUUAUCAUAUUAGUAUUAUAAUUAUUAUAACUAUUAUUAUCAUUGUUAUUAAUAUUACUAAUAUUAAUAAAAUUAAAAUAUUAUUAAUACAAAUAUUAUCAAUAUUAUUUUUAUUAAUAAUAUCAUUAUUAUUAAUAAUAUUCUUAUUAUUAAUAAUAUUUUUAUUAUUUAUAGUAUUUAAUUAUUAUUAAUAUUAUUAUUAUUAUUAAGAUUAUUAUUAAUAAUAUUAUUGUAAUAUUAUUUUUAAUAUUAAUAUUAUUAUAGUUAUUAUAUUUAUUAUUAGUUUUAUUAAUAUUAUAUCAUAAUUAUUAAUAUUAGUACUACUUUUAAUAAUAUUAUUCAUAUUAUCAGUAUAAUUAUUAAUAUAUGAUUAUUAAUAUUAACUUUAUUCUAAGUCUUAAUUUUAUUAAAAAUAUUAAUAUUAUUGUAAUUAUUAAUUUUAUAUUAAUAUAAAUAUAAAUAUAAAUAUUAUUGUAAUUACUAUUAUUACUAUUAUUAUUAUUAAUCUUAUUAAUAUAAAUAUAAUUAUUAUUAUUAUUGUAGAAUUUACUGACGAUUUAUAUCCGCAUCUAAUUAUCGACAAAUUUUAUUGGAUAUUGAUUCGUUUCAAAUUACUUUUUUAAUCUUAAGAUUUGUAAAUCAAAUUUACUGGUAAUUACCAAUGGACAUAAUUCCGUCAAUAAAUUUUUUUAAUAAUUAGUUUUGUCAGUAAUAAAAAACAUAAACCCGUAAAUUUGAUAAAUUUGUUGUUAAUAAUUAGAAUUUUUUUAUAGUAUAUCUUCUGUGACCAGAGACAAGUAAAUACUAUCUUUCAAACGACGAAAUUAGUAUAACAAUAAAUAAAUAAAAAACGUACUCAAACAUUCAAAAACAAUAUAUAUUAUUAAAUAUAUUAUUUUGUGGUUUACAUAUUAAAAAAAUUGUUUUCCAAACUAAUUUUUUCUAUAUUUUAAAACUAGUUUAUAUAUUUGAUUAAUUUACUGUAUUAGUGUUUAGUCAAAUGUCAUGAACUCCAUAGUCACUAAAUAUUAAGUUGCAUGAUGCCUCCAUCACAAACGUGUGACAUCUAACUACUGAUAAAUUAAUAAACUACCUGAUUAUGACUUUGCAUAAAAAUAGUAUGUAUAUAUGAAUUAAUGUAUUUCCAAUACUCUCUAAUGCGAUUGAAUAUUUAAAACAACCUCAAAGAUGACUUAUAUAUGGAACUUCAAAAUUAAAUUCUUCAAACUUUAUUUACGCUCUUCAAGGAAUAGAUAAUAUCCUAUAAUCCAAUGAAUAAGUUAUUUGACAACGAAAAUUGAAGCAUGUUCAAGAAUUCCACAAGCUUCUUGAUAAUAUAAUUUGAAUAAAAAAUUAAAUUUGAUAGUGACAAAAACAAGUGGAGUCAAGUUUUUUUAUUUAAAGUGUGGAUUAUGUAUGUGAGGAUUAUAUGUCAUGGUUAACAUAGUCUUAUCCUUUUUAUACGGGUUGCGAUAUUUUUUAAAUAUCUUAUUUAAUUUAUUUAUUUAUUUUGUUAAUAAAAAUAAUGAUAGUUAAUAUGGAUUGACAUCUUUUAAAUUUAUUUAUUUAUUGAUAAAAAUAAUGAUAAUGACAUGUUAUCUGGUCUUUAAUUAGGCUAUUACUUUUUCCACAAUCUUUUUUGAAACAUAUUUUCUAAAGUUUUUUAAAUUAUAUUUUCAUCAAAAUAAUAAGUCUUUGUCCCUUUUAAAUUUAUAUGUGUAAAUUAUAUUAAAAGCUAUACAAUUUAAUAAUUUUUUAAUAAUAUUUUAUGUAUUAUUUUUAUUGAUAAAUAGGGUAUAUCCUAAACCCUAAACAACUUCCUCUUAAUUAAAAAUCCUGCGCUGGAUCCACAACUCAGUGAUGCAUUACAUCAAAGUCAUUUUGUUCAAGCAUGAAUUAAGUUCAAAAAUUCUUUGAAUCAAAAGUCGCGGAACUGAGCACUAAUUUCUCUCUUCUGUAUAAAUGUGUGAAUGUGUUUUGAUGUGAAAUAUUCAUGUUUUGUGUGGUACUUAUUUUCUUUCUGUAACUUAAAUAUUAAUGUAUUUUAAAUAUAAAAAGAUUUCUUGUUGGCUAGUGUGGAAAAUGGGACUAAGACUUGAUUAUUUUGAUGAAAAUAUAAUUUGAAAAAUUUAGAAAAUAUGUUUCGAUGAAAAGAUUGUGGAAAAAAUAAUAGCCUAAUUAAGGAUUAGAUAAGGUGUAACUAUCAUAUUUAAUUUUUGUAUUCAAAUCUAGGCCAUCUUCUCAUUUGUCUUUCACAAUUUCUUCCUCGAAAUGGUUCCAUUAUAAAAUCCAAUGUAGAUGAUGCUCAAUAGAAACACUAAAAACUCCUCUUCUAUCAAAAGAUAACAAAAAAUGGAAGUCCUUCCUCCUAUAUUUUUCAUUGUUGUGUUACUUUCUACAAUUUCAUGCUCAGCUUCAGCUGCAAAUUCAGCUCACAACAAUUUUCUUCAUUGUCUUGUAAGCCAUUCAGAGCCCUAUCAUCCCAUAACCUCAGCGAUUUUCACGUCAAACAACGCUUUAUUCUCCUCAGUCUUGAAUGAUUAUGUCAGAAACCUUCGUUUCAACACCUCCACAACCCGUAAGCCGUUCCUUAUAGUAACUGCAUUGCAUGUGUCCCAUAUACAGGCAUCCAUUAUCUGUGCUCAGAAGUAUAACUUGCAAAUGAAAAUUCGAAGUGGAGGCCAUGACUACGA
RNAcentral lists this long non-coding RNA (6327 nucleotides) under Phaseolus vulgaris (common bean). RNAcentral's name for it is "long non-coding RNA (PVUL_LNC002715)". Lineage: Eukaryota; Viridiplantae; Streptophyta; Magnoliopsida; Fabales; Fabaceae. The record is from RNAcentral.